ACAAACAGUCCAGUACAGAUGUUAUGAGUGAACACCGGUACGUUGGUCAGUCAGGUUCUGUAUUUUUGCUGCAGGAAUUCGACAGAUUUGACAGAUACUUUUAGGACCUCAGUUUAUUUAUGAUCUCAUGGACAUAAAUACAAUAUAAAGUGCUAGGUUAUAUAAAUGAACUGUGACCGCAGUCUACAAUUUAACACUAUUAACUCCAGAACCCUGUAAGUCAUCAUGAAACUUAGGGAAAUGCACUGGGACAUCUGCAUGAAACAGCUAUAACCUACGAUACUCGUACAACAGCAUGGACAGUCGUGUGCCGGUUGGUAGACAACAGUUGCAUCUUAAAUUCGUUGGAUUCUGACAUUUAAUGUCUAACAGUUCGUCAUGACGACAAUAUUUCAUACUGAAACGUAUUGUUUAGGCUAUAAAUGUACUUUGUUCAAUCAAAUGUCAGUUAAACGGCAUUUGAUUAAAUAUAAAAUACAUGAAUGAAUAAAAGGAGACUGUUAAUGAUAACAUCCUCCCUGUAAAGUCCUGGGGAAAGUGUUUGGGAAGAUCAUUCCUUACAUUGAGGACUGAAUGUGCCGGAUCUAAGGAACGCUGGAAUUUUAGGUUGCUAAGUCUAACAUUCCAGCGUUCCUUACUGUAGAUCCGUCACAACCGUGACCAGGAUAAAGCAGAAGGUUGAGAUGAAGGAAGCAGUGAGUUGUCAUUAGAGAUGACAAGUGCUUGUUCAUUCUUCACAGAAAAGUCGAUCUCCUAUAAAUAAAGGAGUUCACUUACAAUGUUUAUUUGAAUGCUUUUGCCAUCUUCUUAUCAAAAUUGUAUCCAUCUUUCUUUUUAUUUGCUUGUUCAUUAUACACUACAUAGCAGAGGGGAAACGUCUAGAUGCCCUGAGACGUGCGACCUCGGGGGUGUAAAGGAUAAACGGCUUCCCUGCAUUCAACCUACGCAGCUGUGUAUAUUUCAGGCUGUAAGGUUCAUCUACCUCAGGGACAAAACCCAUUAACACGGAUACGCUGAUCACCAGGAUGACAAAUGAAUGCGAGUACUCCAUGUUGGCGUGUGCUGUUCAGCUUCUAUCCGUCUUCACGGCCACCUGAUGAUUUACUGAUGGGACUCACCUGCUUGGUCUGUCUCAAUCGUCUCUCUCUCUCCCUACGUCGUGUUCAGACACUGAAUGAACCAAAAAUUAGCCCUUAGUACAGACUGACCUACUCGGAGUUCCUGGCCAAAGACGGUGCGCUCUCCCAGGGCCGAGCAAUUCCAGCGGCCGUAGCGGAACUGGUACUGACACUCGUUUAUGCCCAGCUGAGC
Long non-coding RNA from Tachysurus fulvidraco (yellow catfish), 1311 nucleotides. RefSeq lists it as uncharacterized. The transcript has 4 exons. The record is from RefSeq and is a predicted model, not a curated record. Lineage: Eukaryota; Metazoa; Chordata; Actinopteri; Siluriformes; Bagridae.